UGCAGCGGAGCCGAGGACAGAGAAUCCAUGAGACAGAAAGGGCAAAGUCCUGGUUGCUUGGCUCAUCUGGGGUCCCUGAAAGAACAUACCACAACAAGAGC
This is a long non-coding RNA of Suricata suricatta (meerkat), 101 nucleotides long. RefSeq lists it as uncharacterized. NCBI's taxonomy places the organism in Eukaryota, Metazoa, Chordata, Mammalia, Carnivora, Herpestidae. The record is from RefSeq and is a predicted model, not a curated record. The transcript has 3 exons.